Molecule: ribosomal RNA, 459 nt
Filed under: uncultured bacterium
Lineage: Bacteria
Description: partial 16S ribosomal RNA
Rfam family: Bacterial small subunit ribosomal RNA
Source: RNAcentral
CCUACGGGAGGCAGCAGUGAGGAAUAUUGGUCAAUGGGCGCGAGCCUGAACCAGCCAAGUCGCGUGAGGGAAGACGGUCCUAUGGAUUCUAAACCUCUUUUGUCGGGGAGCAAAAGACGCCACGCGUGGCGUUCCGAGAUUCCCCGAAGAAAAAGCAUCGGCUACCUCCGUGCCAGCAGCCGCGGUCAUACGGAGGAUGCGAGCGUGAUCCGGAUUUAUGGGGUUUAAGGGGUGCGUAGGCGGAAGAUCAAGUCAGCGGUAAAAUUGAGAGGCUCAACCUCCUCGAGCCGGUGAAACUGGUUUUCUUGAGUGAGCGAGAAGUAUGCGGAAUGCGUGGUGUAGCGGUGAAAUGCAUAGAUAUCACGCAGAACUCCGAUUGCGAAGGCAGCAUACCGGCGCUCAACUGACGCUCAUGCACGAAAGUGUGGGUAUCGAACAGGAUUAGAUACCCGGGUAGUC